CCUACGGGUGGCUGCAGUGGGGAAUAUUGCACAAUGGAGGCAACCCUGACCCAGCCACGCCGCGUGAAUGAUGAAGGUCUUCGGAUUGUAAAGUUCUUUGGUGGGCGAUGAACACAAUUACGGUACCCCAAUAGCAAGCCACGGCUAACUACGUGCCAGCAGCCGCGGUAAUCAGUAGGGGCCAAGCGUUAUCCGGAAUGACUGGGCGGAAGGGGCGCGUAGGUGGUUUAGUAAGUUGGCGGUGUAAUUCCGGGGCUCAACCUGGGCGCUACCGCCAAAACUCGUAGACUAGAGUGCAGGAGGGGGAAGUGGAAUUCCUAGUGUAGCGGUGGAAUGCGUAGAGAUUAGGAGGAACAUCAGGGGCGAAGGCGACCUACUGGAAUGUAACUGACACUGAGGCACGAAAGCGUGGGGAGCAAACAGGAUUAGAUACCCUAGUAGUC
This 443-nucleotide ribosomal RNA is filed under the name uncultured bacterium. RNAcentral's name for it is "partial 16S ribosomal RNA". It matches the Rfam family "Bacterial small subunit ribosomal RNA", at positions 338 to 795 of the family's 1533-position model. The record is from RNAcentral.